AGAGUUUGAUCAUGGCUCAGGAUGAACGCUAGCUACAGGCUUAACACAUGCAAGUCGAGGGGAAACGACAUCGAAAGCUUGCUUUUGAUGGGCGUCGACCGGCGCACGGGUGAGUAACGCGUAUCCAACCUGCCCACCACUUGAGGAUAACCUUGCGAAAGUAAGACUAAUACCCAAUGACGUCUCUAGAAGACAUCUGAAGGAGAUUAAAGAUUUAUCGGUGAUGGAUGGGGAUGCGUCUGAUUAGCUUGUUGGCGGGGUAACGGCCACCAAGGCGACGAUCAGUAGGGGUUCUGAGACGGAAGGUCCCCCANAUUGGAACUGAGACACGGUCCAAACUCCUACGGGAGGCA
Molecule: ribosomal RNA, 353 nt
Filed under: uncultured bacterium
Lineage: Bacteria
Description: bacterial SSU rRNA
Rfam family: Bacterial small subunit ribosomal RNA
Source: RNAcentral